UACGAAGGGGGCAAGCGUUGUUCGGAAUUACUGGGCGUAAAGGGCGCGUAGGCGGCUUAUCAAGUCAGGCGUGAAAUUCCCGGGCUCAACCUGGGGGCUGCGCUUGAUACUGAUUGGCUUGAAUGCGGGAGAGGAUAGUGGAAUUCCCAGUGUAGAGGUGAAAUUCGUAGAUAUCGGGAGGAACACCGGUGGCGAAGGCGGCGACCUGGGUCGACACUGACGCUGAGGCGCGAAAGCGUGGGGAGCAAACAGG
RNAcentral lists this ribosomal RNA (253 nucleotides) under uncultured bacterium. RNAcentral describes it as "partial 16S ribosomal RNA". It matches the Rfam family "Bacterial small subunit ribosomal RNA", at positions 524 to 776 of the family's 1533-position model. The record is from RNAcentral.